AAAUAAUCUUCUAGUCCACUUGAGUUGGGCAAGUUAACUAGAGAAUAAAUGUGUAGUAACAUGCUCCAAAUAUCCCUGGUAGCAUAUUUCUUAAUUUAAAAUUCCUGGGGGGGCGUCUAGGGGGCUCAGUCCGUUAAGCGUCUGACUCUUGAUUUUAACUCAGGUCACGAUCUCACAGUUCGUGAGUUCAUGCCCCAUGCUGGGCUCUGUGCUGACAGUGCGGGGCCUGCUUGGGAUUCUCUCUCCUUCUCUGUCCCUCCCCAGCUCUCUCUCUCAAAAAAAAUAAACCUUAAAAAGUAAUAAAAUUCUUGGAACAAUUCCACUCAUUAACACGAACUAAUCUCAAAACCUCACAGUGUGUGUGAAAAGGCACAUCACAGAAACACGUGCACAGCACGCUGCCUACGUGUGAAGACCAAAGCCCGGCGACGUAGAGCAGGUAAAACCAAGAGAAGCACGUCCGUGAUCACCCACAGGCGGGACAGCAGCCCUGAGCCACCUGCUACGCUGCAGGUGGGCGGCUAGCGUUCCCUGCUCUUGACUCGUUAUGUCACACAAAGACUGUUGCACUUGCUCUGGGGUCAUUCGUGGGAUUAACAAUAGCAGAACUGAAAAAAUAUAUGAUAAAACAAUUGAGAAUUUUUCCUCUAAAGACCAAAAUAAGGAGAUAAACAUCCACGGAAUAAAUGAGAAGUUAUGAAGAGGCAGCGUGGGCAGGGGGGCCGGAGCAGGCCAGGCUCACAGUGAUGUUGCCCAGAGGAGCCCACCCCAAACGGGAGCCUGGCAGGUAGGCGUGAACUGGGACUAAGUUCCUCAACGCCAACGAUGGGGGCACAAGUGUGCCCGGACCCCACUUCACCCUCCGGGGAGGGCCAGCUCAGCGGAUUCUAAUGGCGCCCGCAACGGAGAUGUGCACCGAACACCGUGAGAUGUUCCUUAAAACUCCGCCCGA
Acinonyx jubatus (cheetah) is the source of this 952-nucleotide long non-coding RNA. RefSeq lists it as uncharacterized. The transcript is spliced from 2 exons. The record is from RefSeq and is a predicted model, not a curated record. Lineage: Eukaryota; Metazoa; Chordata; Mammalia; Carnivora; Felidae.